AGAAGAGAUGUAUUGCAGGGUGGCUGGCAAGGAACAGGGACCCCAUAGCUUCGCACUCUCUCAAGGUGGAUCCCCUGCUGGGCCAGGCUCUGGAGGACCCCUCCUACCUUGGCAGUGUUAGUCAUUUCUGGCCCCCACAUCGAAAUCCUUGUUGUACCAGCCGGGUCAUAAACACAAUCCUGACUGGGUGUGAGGGAGGGUCCUGGGAGCAUCGGAGGGGAGACCUUCUGGCUCAGCGCUGAAGCGGGUCUCUGGCCCUGGCCUUGGGCUGGUGUUCUCUGGGUAUAAGGGGGUGGCUCAUUCAGGAGGGGGUCCUCCAAGUUGCCUGAGAGGAGGGGCAGUAUCUUGGGGGUCCAUUUAUUUGAGCAGGUCACAAUGGGAAAAGGGGCUCCCUUCACCAAGGACAGGAGGCAAAUAACUAGCUGCACCCACGAAUCCACAGAGGGAAAUGGAUCUGGAUGUCUGGGAUUCCCUGCCACAACGUGCCAGACUUUCUGGACUGGAGCCUUUUUCAGUGAGCCCUGGGUAGACAACUCAACCUGGAAGGAUGGCCUCUCCCCUGUGCAGAGUCCAGAGUGCCCCAGGAAGCAACCUCUCAUUGGUGAGCUGCGUCAGGCCAGGUUACUGAAGCAGAACAGCGGCGAGGAAACCAGGAACUUCUGGCGGGACUUUCCAGGGCCGCUGUGCCCUUUUGCAGAGGUCACGGGUUGCUAGGUAAAGGUAACCUGAGGUGGUGUUGGUCUCCUCCUUCACUGGCACGGCACUAUGCUCCUGAUCCACGGUAUGUUUUUGUCUAAUAUAAGCAUUGAAAGCUGAAGAUUUCCCUCUAAGCACUAGUUAGGUGUAGCCCAUACAUUUUGAUGUGUUGUGUUUCUAAUUCUAUUGUGUUCAAUAUAUUUUCUGAUUCCUUCUCUGUUUUCUCUUUUGAUCUCUAAGCUAUUUUUUUUUUUUUUAAUUUGUUACUGGGGAUCGAACUCAUGACCUUGCGCUUGCCAGGCAGGUGCUUAUGCCAUUGAGCUAUAUCCCCAGCCCUGAUCUCUAAGCUAUUUACAAGUGUGUUCAGUUUCCAAAUAUUUGGGGGUUUUCCAUGUAUCUUGCUGUUGAUUUCUAAUUUAAUUCCAUUGUGGUCAGAUAACAUAGUCUUUAGUUGUUUGUCAUUUAUUUAGUUUUAUGUUCCCACAUAUGGGAUGUAUUGGCUAACAUCUUUUAUGUACACUUGGAAACAAUGUGGUUUUUGUGUGGGGUAUCCUAUAGAUGUCAUUUAGGUCAAAUAAGUUGAUAUAUUGGUCAAGUCUUCUCUAUUUUUCUUGAUUUUUUUGAGGAAGGGUCUCACUAUGUAGUCCAGGCUGGCCUUGAGCUCACUAUGUAUCCCAGGCUGGCUUUGACCUUGCAGUGAUCGUCCUGCCUCAGCCUUCCAAGUGCUAGGAUUAUAGGUAUGUGCCACCACACCCAGUUAAAUUUUUUUUAUAAAUAAAAAAAAGUUUUAUUUUGUAUUUUUCUUGGUCUUUUUGAGACAGGGUCUCGCUAUGCAGUUCAGGUUGGCCUUGAGUUCACUUUGUAGCCCAGGUUGGUCUCGAACUCACAGUGAUCCUCCUGCCUCAGCCUCCCAAGUGCUGGGAUUACAGGCAUGCACCACCAUACCUGGCUAAAAUUAACCGUUUCAUAGUUAUGAAGUUUACUUUUGGUAACAUUCUUUAUUCUGAGGUUUACUUGGUCUGCCUGUAAUAUACCACCUUAGAUUUCUUAUACUUUUUGCUUGUGUGGUGUAUGUCAUGUACUUGAGGUGGGGCUUUUAGAAGGUGAAGGGGUCCUGAGGCACUGUACUCACAGUGGAUUAAUCCAUGGUUGAAUUCAUAGCUGUGCUGUUAGGAGGCGGACCUGGCUAGAGUCCCUGGAGCCGUGAAUUGAGAGGGUGUGCUCUUGUCCCUGGCUCCUCCCCUUUCUCUCUCUGUCUCCUGGCUGUCAGGAGUUGAGCAGUUUUGUUCCACCACGUCCUUCAGCCGUUCCAUUUCCUUCUUGGAGCCAGUAGAUCGUGUACUGAAUGCCCCCAACCAUGAGCCAUGAACCAAAUAAAAUCUCUGCCCCUUUAAAUUGUGUCCAGUAUUUUGUCACAGUGAUAGGAAAGCUAAUACAGAAAACUGGUACCAGGAGUGGAGUCAAAGCUCUGACAGGAGCCUUUGGAACUGAUCUGUGGGAGGAGUUUGGAAAGGUUUGGAGGUGCAGGCUGAAGAAGUCCUAGAGUGCUGUAGUUAGGGCUUGGUGGGGGACUCUGAUUGGAGUGCAGAAGAUCGCAGUGCUGUAGGAUGCAGACAGUAGAGGUCAGGCCUAAGAGGUUUCAGUUAGCAAUUAGAACACCUUUGGCAUAGGGGCCACGUGUUACACUUUGGCGGAAAAUUUGUCUUCAUUUUCCCGUGUCCUGAGACCGUUGUGACAAAACUGAGUCCAGGAAAGGAACGAUACCCGAAGAAGUCAGGAGGCAGUGAGCAGCUUUAUUUUAUACCGCUGGUCCUGGCUGGAAUAACUUCCAACAAAAGCCAGGCAGCAAGUGUCUGUGAGCCAGCAUUUUUAUAUGAGGCAUAAGCAGGGGUUACAAAAGCAGGACAGGACAGCCUAGCAGCUCUUCUGCUUAGCUAGCAGGGUGAGAACAUCACUUACAGGGCUAGAUUAAUGACCAUCAGUUACAAGACUGGAUUAAUGACCACAAAGCUUGGUACAAUCAAGUAUCCUGAAUGUUCAGUUAUGCUCUCAUGAUUACAGGGGUCAAGGAAGCAAUUACAGAGCCAUGAAACAGUUACAGAACUAGGCACCUUCAAAGAGAAUAACAGUUUAAGAAGAGCAAUUUUUCCUUGUGCAGUUUUUCUCUUUCAAGACUGUGCGGAAGACUGAGGUUAAGGGCAGAGGACCAGUUAAUCUGGUGGAGGAAGUUUCAAUGCAGCCCAGAGUUCAGGCUGUAGCCUGGGUGCUGCUAGCUGCUUUUAGCAAAAUCGGAAGAAAAAGCAGAGCCAAAUAAUUUGAAAAGUUAUGGUUCCCCUAGAAAGAAAGCACCUACAAAGUUAGGGCCCAGGGAAACAUAGCUGCUGAAAAGAUCAGCAUCAAAAAAGAAGCCAAGUGUUGAGCAUGGUGAGGUCUUUCAGAGCUGGUGAAUCAGCCAUGGGUAGGUUAAGGUAAUAAAUGCAGUUUUUGACUUAGCAUAUUUUCAGUUCAUAAUGGGUUUAUUAAGAUGUAACACUCCCAGCACUCAGGAGGCUGAGGCAGGAGGAUUGCCACAAGUUCAAGGCCAGCCCGGGCUACAUAGUGAGUUCAAAUCCAGUCUGAACUAUGUAGUGAGACCCAGUCUCAAAAAAAAAAAA
This is a long non-coding RNA of Chinchilla lanigera (long-tailed chinchilla), 3350 nucleotides long. Lineage: Eukaryota; Metazoa; Chordata; Mammalia; Rodentia; Chinchillidae. The record is from Ensembl.